RNAcentral lists this ribosomal RNA (194 nucleotides) under uncultured eukaryote. RNAcentral describes it as "partial 18S ribosomal RNA". It matches the Rfam family "Eukaryotic small subunit ribosomal RNA", at positions 1 to 191 of the family's 1831-position model. The record is from RNAcentral.
UGAACCUGGUUGAUCCUGCCAGUAGUCAUAUGCUUGUCUCAAAGAUUAAGCCAUGCAUGUCUAAGUAUAAACAACUCUAUACUGUGAAACUGCGAAUGGCUCAUUAUAUCAGUUAUAGUUUAUUUGAUAGUACCUUACUACUUGGAUAACCGUAGUAAUUCUAGAGCUAAUACAUGCCAAAAUCGGUGACUUCG